CUGGCCAACCGCUCGCCCCGCCGCCGCCCCUUCACGCCUCGCCGCUCGCCCCGCCUCUCCAACCUCCCUCCCCAAACGCAUCUCCCACAACCUCCAGUCGCCGCACACCCCGACGCCCACCUCUCCAACCUCCCUCCCCGCACGUUGCGCUCCAUCCCCGUCUGCCCAUCAUCGAACCAACCUCCAACCCAUGCUACCGGCACCGCACGGCGCACGUCCAGUACGCCGCCCCUCCCGGACUGCACGGCACGGCGCACGGCGGUGCGAAUCUGGAUCUACAGAUGCGGUUGCCACCCAUCCCGUUCCAGUUCCUUGCGCCAACCGAGAGGGAGGGAGGGAAGGGAGGAGCACGGAGAUGAUGCAGACUGUGGAAGAGUGGCCGCCAAGUACCAUGAGAUGGCCAUGGUGACCUGCAAGAUGAUACUGAAGAUUUAAGUGAAGUGGCUCAACUGAAUCAAGGGGACAUAGUGGUUUAUGAUGUCGAACAGAGGUGUAGCACCGCUGCAGGUGCUUCAUUCUAGGUGUUGCGCAAACACCAUGAGUCCAGGAGGCUGUACAAACGAAUUUUGACUCGACGAUGCAGCCGCUGCGAGUCCCUUCGCUGAGAUUCAGAUUUUUUUUCUUUCCCAUUUCAGUGUGUUUGGAUUGGAUGUGGAAGAAUAUACCAGAUGGGAAGAUACUAUGCUUUUAUGAAAUUGUGGUUCUACUGGGUGAAAUUCUUGUUAUAAAGUGGUGGUCUUGCUACUGAAAUAUGGCCUGAGGAUCGAGGAUGUACUUGUUAUUGCGGACGAAUUCCUGCUGUAGAUUUGCAUGUCGAUGGUUGCAAGCAAAGAGGAUUGGGCCCGAAGAAAUGCUGAUAUUGAGCCUGGACCGCAAGGCGAUAUGUCGAGCUCUGCGUAGCCUGGUUUCAAUGGCUUAUUUAAACAGGUGUCUCCUUUUCCUUUGUAUGUGUUUUCGAGUCUCUUUAUGUGUAAAAAUAGCCUGUAGAUAUCCUGCAGUGUGAUUUUAUUUUUCGAGUUCAGCUCUGUGUUAUCAUAGAAUUCAGGUUAGGGAGAUCAAGAAGAUGUUUCAUAUGUUAGCACAACUACUGGAGGAUUUGCAGAGUGUACAUUGCUUCCAGUGUAACAAGAACAGAAAAUAAGUCAUGAAUUUGUAGCAAGUGACGCCCUUGGCAUUCUUUUUGAAAGAUAUCCAAGAGAGUUAAAGCAUCAUGGGGACAAGGAGGCCGAGCAGUUCGUUGUGUCUCCGUCGUCGCCAGCCACACUGGUAUGUUGUGCCCCUUUCCCUGCUCCACGUCCUAGGCUACUCCACCACCACCGGAUACGAGUGUGGCCGUGGCAGAGGAGGCUCGUGCAGGGGGAUUUGAUGCAUAUAAAGGUUAUGUUUGUUAUUUUUCACACACACACACACACACACACACACAGGUGUUCCACGGUUAAUUUUGUUGUGGGGAAAAAUUGAGGACUAAAGGUUUUGGUAUGUCUGAUUGUUGACAUGCCAUCGGAAGUGCAUGAUUGUCUGAUAGACUUGAAUUCUUAGGUUUUCUUUCUUAUUGGUCUUGUUUUUUUUUUUUUGGUGAAAACCCAUGAUUUUACCCUAACCCAAAAUUUCUGAGUUAAACGGAGAGGCUCUAUGAGAAGUUUUGGGACAUGGAAGAAAUUGAUUGUUCUAAUUUAAGUAAUACAAAAAGAAAAUAGUAUUUUCUCAAUAUUUUUUAUUAGUAACAUAUGUCUAUAAUAUUAUGAUUUACCUCUGCUAAUAGAUGUCGUCGUUGCAAAGAAACAUGCCCAAAUUUGUAAGCCCGUAUUGGUAUUACUUUCCAGUAAUCAACAUCCAACAGAAUAUAUAUUUAUGAUUGCUCUAUUAUCUUGCCAUGAAUGACAAUGAUAAAUUUGUUGUUGACUCAUGUUAUAUCCUCACAAAUAAAGUGCUACAGGGAACUUUCUCUAUCAGUUAAGGCUGGAUGAGCAAGACGACAUACUGCAGACCGAGAACAAGAGUUAUGUUCAUCAUCACUUCAUCAGUGAUAUGUGUUAAUACUCUCCUAGAGAUUGAUUUCUUUGUGAUCGCAAAAAAAGGGGUCACAUACAUGGCGUGCUUCCAAAUAUCAGGUUGCAAAUACCUUGUUUGCUUUGGACCUUGCCAUAGAAGGAUGAACACUAAAUGACCACAAAUGCCUCUAGAUUAUGAGUAAGCGUGGUUCUACCUUCAGUGGUUUGCGCAUCUGCUUUGUCUCUCAGGCUGGUUUCACGAGUACCUGAUUUUGCUUGGAACAGCCACAGGUGCAUCAGCUUGGUUUGCUAACUAGCAAUGUUUUGUUUCUUAGGUGGACAAACUUGUAUCUCAGAACCUUGAUGAAUUAUUUCAUUUGAUCAGCUUAUGUGGAAACUACUAAUUUUCAUUGCCUCUGUACACACACUUGCAUAUCUUUUUUCCUGGUGCUUAUUGGCAAUGGCCCACUCAUAGGCACGACCUAGAAGAAAAUAAGAUUGAAGAUGUAUUUUUCUUGGUUGGAAAUAUUACACCUCAAAUUUACUUCAGUUUGGAUACA
Long non-coding RNA from Aegilops tauschii subsp. strangulata, 2551 nucleotides. RefSeq lists it as uncharacterized. The record is from RefSeq and is a predicted model, not a curated record. NCBI's taxonomy places the organism in Eukaryota, Viridiplantae, Streptophyta, Magnoliopsida, Poales, Poaceae.